Molecule: long non-coding RNA, 2208 nt
Filed under: Homo sapiens (human)
Lineage: Eukaryota; Metazoa; Chordata; Mammalia; Primates; Hominidae
Description: non-protein coding MIR100HG:97
Source: RNAcentral
AGUAAAGAUUAAAUGUGCUUCUCAAAGGCAGCCACUUCAUGCUGCUAUGUCGAAAGGGCCAUUAUUAUUAUUAUAUUUUAAUGGUAAAAGAGAAAAGGAGAGAGGUUGAGCGAGCGAGAGAGAAGCUAGGUGUGAUGAUGACAGACUAGCUUUUCUGAGAGGAAAAGGAAAAGGGAAGGGAGAGAAAAAGGAGAGCCUCUGAGCUCAACGGAGGAUUGUGCCUGAGAAGAACCCACAGAGGUGAGAAAAAAGUUGUCUUGAAGGUGGGGGUGGGGGGGCUGCUAAACAGACACUGUACAGAGGGAGAAGAGACAUAAUUUAGCUGUGUUGCUAGUAUGAUUCCAUUUUUAAAGGAGGGGAGGGGGAGAGUCUAGAGCUCUAACUGUUUUUAGUUGCAUAUGGAAAUAUCUAAAAAAAUAUUUAGCAUUUUUACUAAGUGCGUUGAGGCCUCUCCAGUGUCCUCCUGGCUGUGGCUGCUUUGUCAUUCUCUUUGACUAGCCAGCCAUCUACCUUGCUCAGGCCUGGAAUAAAAGAAGAACAAGAAGAAGAAAGAAAUGAAAUGAAAAACAGAAAGAAAAAGGAGAAGAAACAUUUGUAAAAGGGUCAUCUUCCCAUCUGCCUCCCCUCCUUUUCCUUUCAUUUUUGGUGGCGGCACAGGAAAGCCCCACUUCCAGUCUGAUGAGGAAAGCGACAAUCUAUCAGCCUGGUGCUCGCUCUUGGUGAUUUGGCCUUGACUUCAGCCAAGCAGCUGAUGCAGACGAAGCCUCCGUUUGCAGGACUGGCAAAGUGCACGCUAAAGAAAGAAGGAAGAAAUUUUUCAAAAAGCAGCUCUGGGGAGGUUUCAUACUCCCCCCCCCCCCCCGCCUUUUUUUAAUUUUUAAGUGAAUAUUUUCCAAAUUUGAUCAGUUCCAGCCCCUCCCUCCACUCCCACCCAACUGCCCUUUUUUCUCUCGUCAAAGCAUAAGCUACAGAGUUACAGUCUCGAGAUUUGGUGUAUCGCUUCCUGCCCCCGCCUCCCCUCCCCGCCCCCGUUCUCCGUCCUCUAUUGAAACACCUCGCCCAGCCUAGCGCACUGAGAGCUCUCAUUUUCCCCCCUUGCUCGGGAUGGUGCCACAGGAGGCUGUGCGGGCCCCGCUCCGCUUCGAAUGGAUACAGUUAAGCUAAUGAUCUCGAGAGGAUAUCGUCCUGGAUAAGGGUGGAGCCUACGCCCAAAAACAAGAUUACCUGAAAGAGAAAAGAAAGGGGGAAAACACACAGAGAUACAGUCGGGGAGGCCACAUGAAGAUGGAGGCAGAGACAGGAGUGAUGAGCCUGCAAGCCAAGGAAUGCCAAGGGCUGCCAGCAGCCAUGAGAAGCUGAGAGACACAGAGAACGAGUCCUCUGCCAGAGCCUCCAGAAGGAACUAACCCUGUCAAUACCUUGAUUUCGGACUUCUGGACUCCAGAACUAUAACCCUCCUUCCUCCACCUCACAAAAACUCACAAGCUGCAACCCUUCUGAUGUCCACUCCCACACAAACCAGCUUCAGGCCUUUUUCAAGUGGAUGCUGUGGGGCACCACCUCCUUGAGGACCAAGGCACUCCAGCUGCCAGGAAUUUGGCUGCUAACCUCACACAGCUGAGCCUUCCAUGAAAAUUGCUCUCUGCCAAAGAGAACUUCCUAGUCCAAGGUCAUGUCUACUCUCCAGAGAUGUGACUGGAGUGAUUUGCACCCGGAUGCCUAGACUCGCCAUCUGCUCAAAGACUGCUCAGAAAGCCCUCCCAUGCAUUCCCCUGCUGCAUACCAGCCCACUCUGCCUGCAGCUGCUGUCUGCAGGACUUCAUAUCUAUGCCACACUGUGUAAAAGCUGUGCUUCAAGAAAUCACAAAAACAUUUUCCUGCACCUACUACACAGCCUGAGUGCGGCAUAAGUUGACCUUGCUUGCUAAGAAAUGGGGCAAGAAAUGCUUUUUUGUGUGUGUCAUGUCUGUUUGUUUUUCAAUUAAGAGAGGAAAGCAUUAGGCAGAUGGAAUGUACAUGUGAGGAUGAGGAGACAGAAAACAAGUAGCCCUUUCCAUCAAGAUAGAGGGUUUUCUGGGGUUGCUGGCUAUUGAAUGUCACUCCUGAUUUCUCUUUCCAAGGCACUGUACCACCAGCCUACUGAGAUUGUGUGGGAGCUUUCAUGGGGGUUGUAUUUCACUGAUGAAAAUAAAUUUUUUGCAUAAUGUG